CAGGUCCUCAGGCCAGCUGUGGGGAGGGCAGAGGGAGAGGUGAAGAAGAUGGGGAGUGUAGACACUGAUGGAGCCUUGAGAAGGGGUGGUGCCCUUGCUCCGUGGUAGGUGGGAAACCAGGCAGCUUUGUUGGAUCUGAGAGCAGAGGGCCUCUGAGCUUGAGGGGAGAGUCUAGUGGCAAACCAGCUACAGGACGGGUCUGGGCAGAAAGGGCCUUAGUCUUAUAGAGUGAGCUUCCAGUCUCCUGGCCUGGCACGGAGAGAUGUGGGAUACACAGACGCAGGCCUUGUAGCAGAAGUGGUCGGUGUCCCCUGGUCCCUGUAGCUCUUGGGCUGUACCUUCUCCUUGCCUGCUGGUCUACCAGCUGCCAGCCCCUGCGUCUCCUUGCCAGAGGGAUUCCCCUGGUUGCUCUGCGCAUGCACAAUGGUAGGCCAGUGUGCUUGGAAAAUGAGACCACAGCAGCCCUGAUGUCAGCACUGAUCGAGCUGAUGGAUCAAUACCCCAGCUCUCUCGCCCCUCACAUGUACUCAUUCUCCACUUUCUCAGAGUUCCUGGCAAGACUGAAUGCCACUUGCCCACCGGGUACUGUGAUAACACGCUCUGUGGCAGCUUCUUUCCCUUCCCUGUCUCACUGCUGUAUCCCCUACUACUGUGGGUAUCACCUCCAAAUAAACGAUCGACCUGAUUUUGGAGGAACUCAAAACCAAUACAAACUCAAAAGAGGCCCUUGGGAGGGAGCGAAGAAUGAUGCAGCAGGAAGCCUCAGGGCCUGACAUGGGUGUGGAACUCUCCCAGGGGACUCGGCACAGGCAGAUGAUGCUUCUUCCCUGAGUCUGUGUCUCAUAAGCCUUCUCCUUCCUCUCCGUACAAAAACACAGCAGGACAACUAGGAAGAAAGGGAAUGGGGGCUUGUGCUUUAAAUUAAAUCGAUUUGUUGAAAGAGGGGAAUUGCAUGUUCUUUUCAUCUGCCUUUGUGGGUGCCUCCUCCAGCUGUGGCCUUUACCUGCUCCCCUCUCCAUCUGAGCUGCCUGAAGGCAGGGAAUCGGCCUUGCUCGGCUUGUGGCGGCUCAUCCCCUGGUGUCUCCCAUGAGGGACACUUGAGCCCGAUUCAGUCCACUGGGGAGUGUGCCAGGAAGUGCCGAUGGCCCUAAAGAGCGCAGAGCAGCCCCCAGCUGAUGGCCAGUAGGGAGGUGGGGACCUCAGCCUGAUAGGUGCAAGGGACUGAACUCUGCCAACAACUGAGUGAGCCUGGGAGUGGAUUCAUCCUGGGUCUCCAGUUGAGAACCCAAGUUGGCCGACACCUUGACUUUGGCCUCAGGAGACUUGGAGCAGAAGAACCAAUUGAGCCUACCUGAAAUUGUGACUUGAGAUAAUAAAUUUGGGUUGUUUUAAGCAACUACGUUUGGAGUCAUUUGUUACAGCAGCAAUAAGAAACUAAUACAGAGAUUAUAACAACCCUGUGACGGCUACUUUGAGUGGCAGCUCUGGCUGAAAUGUUGAAAGGCAACCUCUACAGCAUGGCCCUUUGUGCUUUGGUCCAUCCUGCAGGUUACAUGUGCACUUCCUAUGCAGGGGGCUUGUUAAGGAUAAUAAGUGAAUGAAGAAAGCUGCAGGCUCCUUUGGGUCUGAAGAAGGGAGACCUGGAUAUGGAUCUGGGGUGGCUUUAGCUGGUUUUGGUAUGAUGUGCGGGUGACCUCUGAAUCACAGAGUUUGACGAUCGUUUUCUGACUUCAUUUCUUCAGGGCUUUUGGCAGAGAGAGCCCUGGAAUCUGCCAAGAAGGCUGGUUAUGUGGGCAGAAGCAGCGGUCCAGGGACAAGACUUGACAGCACCCCGGCCAGUUCAUCUCUCUAUCCAGUUUAUUCCCUGAGACGGUCUGACCCACAGCCGACACUCCGAAAUGGAAAAGACCUUCCAGGCAGUCAGCAUUUGAGCACAUUUCCCGCCUGCGGCCUGUACUGACCUCAGCUCAAGUCAAAACUCACAGGAACGCUAGACUUGGAUGAUCCGGGACAUGGAAACUUUCAAUCCUGAAGUGUGCCCCCUCCUCACUGAGACUGGGGCUCCCCGAACUCUUAGAGUGAGAUUGGGCCUGAGCCUGGGGGUGGGGCGUGGGCUACCUCAGUGUUUCUCCUCUUUCUCUUCUUUGCCAGCGGGAGAAAGGCCCGUGGGACUUGUUCUAUAUGGCUGAUUGUGCUUCUUUUUGCCUGCUUGAGUUAAUGGAGAAAAGCCAUACAUGGAUGUCUGCUGGACUAGUUAUGUUUUCCUUGCAAAUACAAAUCUAAAUUGCUCUAGCACAGACAGCUUUAAUGCCUGAGUAAACGCUUGACCUUUGUUGUUGCCCCUGACACUGAUGGGCUGUGAUGCUGAUGGGAGCCUGGAGCCUAAGGUGGUCCAGAUCUUUUGGGUCACAGAAGAGGGUAGAAAAGCAAGGUGCAUCCUGGGAGACAACGGAGGUUUCACCAUGAAACAGAUUUUGGCCUUUUGUUGGACUUGACCUUCCCCCCUUUCCUUUUUGACCAGGAGUGGGUCAUGGGGUGGUGCUUGCAUCCAGGACCAUCAGGUGUAUUACCAGCAUAGUGUGGAGAAUGGGUGUUGCGGGAAACCAGCGAUCUGCCGGGGCUGGCUUUCCCAGCCUUGCAUAAAGGGCUGAGCCGCGGUGUACAGCGCAGGCGGGGGCGGGGGUGCUGAGCAGCGCAGGACAAAGGCGCAUGUCAGCAAGUCCUCCAUCCGGCGGUCCGGGGGACUUGGCAGACCAGCCAGAGUUUCCUGGCAUUUGGUUCUGGAGUAGAGGCGGAAACUGAGGCCCAGGGAGACAAUGAAAUGAGCACAUGUCGUGCCGCCAGGACCCCGGGGGAGCUGGGAUUUGAACCCAUGUUCUUCUCGCGUCUCUCUGCAUCUGCGCAGACUGAGCGUGGGAGGGAGGGCUUUGGCUUUGUGCCCUGGGAUCUGAAGCUGAGCAUCUUCUGAGGAGGAGCCUUGAUGGGAGCGGGGAGAGGGAGGGGGCUGGAGCCAAAGCAGCACUAAGGGAGAUGGGGGUGGAACUAGCUUCUUCCCAGAAGCCCACUGGGGCUCUGGAACCAAUGAAGUCUUAGAAUGAGCAGCUUGGCGGCCGCGGGCUUGGGGGUGAUUGCCCCACCCCAACCCCGCCGUCCCCAGGAGCCCAAACUACACCCAUGGAUGAAGCGGCUUUCGUCUUCAUCCAGCGUUCGCCCCAUGCCAGGCCCAGGUUGUGGGGCUGAGGACAGAGACGAACAAGAUGCAGCCUUUACAUUAGAUUCUCAGGUCAUUACCUCCUGUAUUUGAUGGGGAGGGGUAAAAAGAAGGUUGGUGUAAAAGCCGCUGCUAUUGCAGCGCUUUGGCACCUUGGGAGAAUUCCACACGGAGGAUAAAACGCUACUGCUAUUAGGAGAGACCCCUGUAAUGGGCCUGUGGGACUGAGAAAGGCUGGACGAGGAGGUUUGGACAAAGAAUUCAGUUGUGCUACGUGCAAGGAGUUAUGGACUUACCUUGCUGAGACCUUGAGAAGGAGUUUGCGGUCCGAGAAUAAAUAGGAGUGAAGAGCUCCGCCACGCCCCUGCCCCAGUUAUAUCCUUAUAUCUUAUCUUGCUAGGAUCUGUGGAGGGUGUGAGGCAGGCAGUGGUUAACGAGAUCUGGCAAAACUGAGGCCUAGAAACUUCCGCUCUAGAGUUGUGUCCCACCGGUGCAGUAGUUAU
Long non-coding RNA from Bubalus bubalis (water buffalo), 3714 nucleotides. RefSeq lists it as uncharacterized. The transcript is spliced from 4 exons. NCBI's taxonomy places the organism in Eukaryota, Metazoa, Chordata, Mammalia, Artiodactyla, Bovidae. The record is from RefSeq and is a predicted model, not a curated record.